Molecule: transfer RNA, 67 nt
Filed under: Appendiseta robiniae
Lineage: Eukaryota; Metazoa; Arthropoda; Insecta; Hemiptera; Aphididae
Description: tRNA-Trp
Source: RNAcentral
AAGGUUUUAAGUUAAAUUAAAACUAUUAAUCUUCAAAAUUAAAAAUAUAAAUAAAUUUUAAACCUUA